Non-coding RNA from Delphinapterus leucas (beluga whale), 546 nucleotides. Lineage: Eukaryota; Metazoa; Chordata; Mammalia; Artiodactyla; Monodontidae. The record is from RefSeq and is a predicted model, not a curated record.
GGAAGUGUGGAGUCUUAACCACUGGACCGCCAAGGAAGUCCCUAGAGUGUUACCCACCUGCCUGCCCUCAUCCCUGUACCUUUGGGCAGCCCCAGCUGCUGCAGUUCACUGGACAAGGACUCGCCAUCCACGCUAUGCUUGGCCGCACUGGAGAGGAUGAAACUCAGCACUGCCACUGUGGCCUUCACAUCACCCGACUCUGGGGGGAGCCGUGGGUGGAAUGGAGGGUGUCACUGCGGCCCCAGCCACCUCCUUGACACCCCACUAUCUUCAGCUCAGAGCCCCUAGGCCUCCUUGAGCCAUGAGCACCGCUACUGCCCCACUGGGAGUGGGCAGAGGACCCUAGGGCUGGCAAUGUCUUUCUUCCCUCGUGCUCCUCUGCUGAGGCAGGUCUGCGGACCCAGUGGGGUACUCACCAAACCUGGCAUCAGCGGUGAGCUUCAGGAUCUUCUCAUACUGUGGAGAAAGGAGGCCCUCAAGGGGUGCCGGACCCCCGCUCACUAGCCCCCAACCCCUGGCCUGGAUCCUGUGGUAAGGACACGAGGU